AUCAUGCUCUCCAAAUUCUUUUGAGCUCAAAUAAGUUAAAAAGUUGUAUUCGAUCUCUUUGCCUCGAGUUCGCCGGAGAUACAGCGUCAAUUAUUGAUGCUACGGCUUUCGCAGAUCUAAACUACCUCAAUGAAUUAAAUAUUUAUAGUGGUUUUGAGUUGGAAGAGUUGAAGAUUGAUUAUACAGAGAUAGUACGAAAAAGGCGGGAACCUUUUGUUUUCCGCAACCUUCACCGUGUUACUAUACAUAGCUGCCAGAAGUUGAAAGAUUUGACAUUCCUCGUUUUUGCUCCAAACCUCAAGUCUGUUCAGCUACUCGAUUGCUAUGCUAUGGAAGAAAUAAUCAGCGUCGGAAAAUUUGCUGAGACUCCUGAGAUGAUGGGACAUAUAAGCCCUUUUGAAAAUCUCCAAAUGCUUGAUUUAGAAGAUUUGCCACAUUUGAAGAGCAUCUUCUGGAAGCCAUUGCCUUUCACUCAUCUGAAAGAAAUGGCGGUAAGUGGGUGUGAUCAGCUUGAAAAGCUUCCACUCGAUUCCAACAGUGCAAAGGAGCGUAAAUUUGUAAUUCGUGGAGAAGAAGACUGGUGGAACCGACUUCAAUGGGAGGAUGAAGCCACUCAAAUUGCUUUUCGUUCCUGUUUCCAACCUUAUUCCUGAGCGGUGGUCGCAAAUUUUGAUUCUCUGUUUUUAUUUCUGGUUAGUUUCUCUCUCUCUCUUUCUCUCUCGCUCUCUCUCUUUUUGUCUUCUGCAAAUCACAAUUAAAUGUUGAAUUAAUGGAAUUAAUGCUUCAUAAAUUUGCCGGCACAGCCACUACUUUUUUUUGGGGGGGGGGGGGGGGGGGGUCGAAUUGGUGCUCUGGUUUUUGACUUUUUGUUAGCGAUUUAAUUUCCUGUCAAAAGACGAGCGAGAAGAACAUAUAUAUGACGUAAACCAAUUGAUACUUUAUUUAUGUGCAUUGUAUGUAAUAAAUAUUAAGUAUACUUUAUUUUUGCCCUGUUCUCUGUUUUUAUUUCAGUCUCUCUCUCUCUCUCUCUGCUGUCUCCUGUCUCCUGCAAAUCACAAUUAAAUGUUGAAUUAUAUGGAAUUAAUCCUUCAUAAAUCUGCCUGCGCUGGCUUUUUUUUUUUUUUUGUGGGGGUCGAAUUGAUGCUCUGGUUUUCGACUACUUUUUGUUGUCAAAAUUUUCUCUGUUUUUUCAAAUUGAUGCUUUAUUGAUAUCUUCUUCGUGAAAAGUGAUUUAAUUUCCUGCCAAAAGACGAACGAGAAGAACAUUAGAGUCAAACUAAUGCUCACAUAAAUUUCCCGUAAGAAUAUAUAAUUAUUAAGAUAGAUCUGCUCUUUCAUUAAAUAUAUAUUCCUUUUUCACAUAUUAAUUGACCUUUAUUUAAUUUGUUUAAAAAGUUUAAUUAAUUGUUGUUUGCAGAGAAUCAUCUACGCCGCUCGCCGAUAAAAGUUGAGGUGUUCGAGCAGGUGCUUGCCUUUUUUUUUUUCUUUUUCUUUUUUCCCUGUUUUAAUAUUUCUUUAAAUUUUGAAAUUGUUUAAUUAUUCUUCUGGUUUGGAAUGUUGAUAAUAGUGUUGUGAAAUUAAUUUUUACAGGAUAAAAGGUUGUGGGACAUUUAUUAUCCAUGUCCUAUGUAUCUCAAGCUUAAAGGUCUCAGUGGUCCUCUAUUGGAAAAAGCAAGUUUAAUAUAUAUUAAUUGGAUAUCGUCGCCUGUAUAUAUAUGUAUAUACAUACAUACACAGCCACUCAUCGAUUAUAGACUUAAUUAUUUAAUUGAUUAUGUAAUCUCUCGUAGUUUCUUUGUGCAUUUUUAGUUAAUUUAAUGAAUAAACUCAAAUACAUUGUAAAUAAAACCAAAUUAAAUGUUCCCUAAAAUAUACGUAUAUGCCUCUCGAUGGCACACAAGGUUAAAUGUCAGCCCAUCGCGGGUAAUAUUAUUUCUAGCCGCCUUCAUUACGAGUUAAGAGUCAAUUAUUACUAAACUAAACUAGUCAAAACUCGUAAGUGCUAGAAAGUAGAAACGUUUGAUUCUAUAUAAAUGACUUCAAUUCAAUAUGUACCAAAGAGUAUCGAUAAUUGAACCCCAAAAAACUUUAAAAAAGAUUGACAAAAUUAAUUAUAUUAUUGUGUGUUUUUAGAAGAAAAAAUAAAAUAAUUAAUUAAUGUUAUAACACUAUGUUAGGUGAAAAGUCAGCUGUCUGGAAGAGAACAAACUUACUAAGAUAAGAGCCUUCUUCAGUAAUCAACCGAACGAAAAAGUCAUCUCUUUUCUUAUUUAUUUAGUAAAAAUAAGUAAAGGCCGAAAAUUUCCUAAAAUAUCUAAAUCCCUCUCUUUAAAAGAACACCAUAUGCUGCAUAACAUGCAAAUUAAUUUCCCAUAUGUGAUGCAAUUUUCUCCUCAACAUAUGCGCAAUUCUUUCCAUUCCGGCAUUUACACUCAAAUUUUCCUUCCUUUCUCUUUGUGGUUGAAUCUUACACCACAACUCAUGUGAUGCAAUCUCCUCUCGCUGCCUAAAUUGCACUCUCAGCAAAGCAGCAUAUGUAAGCAAGCUUGAAGAUAAUCUUGCUGCUCUGCGGAAGAACGGCAAAAGUUAAUCGAAGCAAGGACUGAUGUAUCAGAAAAAUUUUGGUGGAGAAUUCAGCACAAACAUAUUUCGGAUGAUCAGAAUCAAUAAAACAUGGUGGUUGCGCCAUAUAAACAUCUUCGGAAAGCUGGCCUUGAAGAAAGGCGUUUAUUGAUAUCCAAUUGACGAAGAGGCCAGCCAUGACUAACAUCAAUACUAAGAACAAGCCGUACUGUGGUGGGCUUAACAACUGGACUGAAAGUGUCAUAAUAGUCCACACCAGGCCGUUGAUUGAACCCUUUGGCAAUAAGACGAGCUUUGAACCUGUCAACAGAACCGUUGGAAUGUCUUUUAAUACAAAAAUCCAUUUGCAGCCAACAAUAUUGGAAAGGAUGGGAGGUGGAACAAGCUUCCAUGUCCCGUUAAGAACAAGAGCAUCAUACUCUUCUGACAUAGAUUGACGCCAGUGAGGAUUUUUGAUAGCUUGCGUCACAGUUGUAGGUUCACAAUCAGAAGGAGGGCUAAAAUGAGCACAGAGGUUAAGUUUUUGUAACGGCUUGUGAAUGUUAUUUUUAGCUCCGGUAGUCAUAUCAUGAUGAUUUGUGGGGCAACGAUCUAGUGGAGUUUGGGAAGAUGAUUGAACAGGAAGUGAAGAAGUGCUUUGUGUAGAGGUAGAAAUAGGUUGGGAGGAUUGCUGCGGAGAUGUUACCGGUAGAGAAGAAGGAGCAGUACACGGUGGCAACUCCAAAGGGCCCACAAUAGAUGGAGUAGGUGCCGACGAUGGAGUACUAGGAAAUGAAACAGUAAGAAUUGGUGGAACACUUGCGUAAUUAGGAGUUGUAGAUGAGCUUGUAAUGAUUUGUAUGGAAAAACAAACUCUACAAAUUUAACGUGACGUGAAAUAAAAAUUUGAAAGGUGGAUGGGUCAAAACAUAAAUAAGCACUUUGAGAUAAAGGAAUAUCCUAGAAAAACACAAGGCUUAGAGGGUGGUUCGAGUUUAUGUGAUGAAACACAAACAUUCAAAAUUUUUUAAGUUUAUAUUAAUUAGGAGUGGUACCAAAAAUUAAUUGGCUAUCGGGUUGUUGGAUGUGUUUUGGAUAUUUACAGCUAAGUUUGAGUAUCUCAACUUAAAAUUUGUAGCUUUCACUUGAAAAAAUUCAGUUAAAAUUUGCAAUGCAGACUGAUUGAUUUAUCAGUUUAACGUGUGCCAGGAAUGAAGAACUGGAAUAUCACCGUCAAGCAAGCACCCUGUGGAGCAAUACCAAACAAUGUACAAUCCGGCUUUGCUAGGUGACACUGGAGGCUUUUUGAAAAGUGCUUCACGCUCACUUGCACAGAUUGAGCAUCCCCUCUGGAUAUUGCCCUCUCUGAUCGAGUCUGAGCACUCAAAUUUUGGUCCUCAGAGGGAGCUACAGUUUUCUCUCCACUAACCAACAAUUUUCUAAACUCAGCACCUAGUGUGAUCUUGAGCCAUAUCUAAAGCAGUUUGAAGUUCAAGUACUUGAGCCCUUGACAAUGGUUUUAAAAUUGGAACAUCUUGGAUUACUGCAGACUUGUACCCCUUGGUUUCAAAGUAAGGAAAGGUAUUGCUUGAGUACAAUUUGGAGGCAGCUUCUUCACCAAUUUUAUUUGGAGGCGAUUGGCAGCGGAUCCAGCUGCACGAAGACUAAACAAGUCAGAUGCAGUUUAUUUGUCCAAGCACAAAUUGCAUUUUGUCCUCAACUUUAAUAUUUAUUGAUGAGAAUCAAUACAGGUCCCUCAUUUGUUAUAGAAAGCUUUAUUGUAGUCUCACCAGUUAAUUCACAGGUCUAUAAUCAUCUUGCAAAGUUAAGGGCAUUUCUUUCGAUCUAAAGUCUUUGCAUCACCACCUCAUCACACGCCAAGCCAAUAUUCCAUUUACCUCUGCAACAAAAAGUUUUAAGUAAACAAUCCUAAUGCACGCAGCCAAAUAAAAUGCAGUAAGAAUAUUCAACUUAAAAAUCUGAAAGCCAACUUGGUGAAUUGCCUCCUUAGGUGAAGUUCCAUGCUUUACUAUAGUUGACAGAACUCAGCAAAAGCUUCCAUACAACAGAUUUUGAAAAUGAUGAUGCCAAUAGAUACUCAUUCAAUCCAUUGAAAAUCCAAAGGUUCAUUGUUAAUAGAAGUUUACAGAGUUUUGGUCAUCAAAUAGCUCAGACCUAAUCCCAAACAAAAAACGAGUGAAAAUUAGAUCACGAGCAGCUAAUUGUAAAUUCUAACUUAACUCUUCAUCUCCUUUGUAAACAAGAAACAAAAUGGAGACACGCAAAAUGAAUAUGGAGAAAAUUUGAACUCAAAUGAAAUGAGGGCACGAAAGCAAACAAAUGGCAUGCACAAAAAAACCAAGCCUCAAUCAAAAACUAAUUAACCAUUAAGAAAAAAAUUGGUCAGAGAAUGAACUCCAAAUUCAGGAGUCAAGCAAGAAGCUUUCAUCAUUUCAGAAGCUCCUGUACAAAAAAACCAAGCCUCAAUCAAAAGCUUUCAUUAAUAAGUUAUGCUCUUUGGAAGCAAACCUAAAUUCCAAGAGAAACAGAAGCCAAAAAAUUUGCAAUUAUACGCAAAGGAAGUGAAGCACAGGAUUCUAUCACACAUAGGAAUUGUAUAACAAGAGAUCGAUAUAUCGAAUUAGAAAACUCAAUUCGAAUUUGUGUGAAAAAUCAAAAUUAGAAGAUUUCACAUUUCGAGAGGAACAAGCAACAGAUGACGUUCAAAAUUUCAGCCAUAACAUGCUAAAAAUGCUACACUUAACGGUUCAUUUUCAUGGAUUUUCUCGGGAAACAAACAGAAAAUUACGGUUCAGAGAGUUGACUGACCUUUUGGCUUUUGAAAUUGAGAAGAUCGCGCGCCAAAUUGGAAGAGGGAAAGUGAAAGUGCGAGUUUUAAUAUGGGUAGAUAAGGAAAUUUUAUUAGGUUGCGAGGGUAAAAAAGGAAAGAGAUAUCAUUAUUUUAUCAUCGAUAAUUAUUAAAUUUUUUUCCAAAAAAAAGAACAAGCAAGGAUAUUUUAUUGUCAUUACUAAGUUAAAAAAAAUUGUUUCAAAAUUACUUGAGUCAUAUCCAAUGGACCAACAAAGUAAUCGUUUUUAUUUUUAUUGAUUUUUGCAGGAAAUUAAUAACUUAAAAAUACUGAAAGCUAUUGUAAAAAUUUUUAUUAUCAACCUCAUAGUUUUUUUUUUUUGGGGGAAGAGAAUUCAAACAUUUUUUUUUUAAAUUUCCAAGAAUUCUUGACACCCGUCUUAAUUAAAAGCUAUAUUUUUAUUCAAGAGUCAUGCUAUUCAUUCACUCACAGACCAAAGGCUUUCCGCAGCAAUAUUAUUAUUUAAAUUACAACAAAGGGGAAAUCAAAUACGUCAUACAGAAGCUUAAAGCUGAAUCAACAAAAUCUAGAGCUCUCAACUACAAAAAUUACACUUGAUGAUCCUCUACAAGAUGAAGCUUGUUCAAUAUCUUAUCCAAAGCUUGUAAAGUAACCUUGUAACGAUCUUGAGAUUGCCUGCCUUCCUCGACGACCUGCACGAUGCGUUUGUACAAAUCAUCAUACCUGUGCACCGGAUUUUUAAUAUCAACGCCACUGCAGCUGUGAUUAAGAAAAUAAGAGCGUUUAACAUCUUUUCUCCAUCGAGAAAGAAUGUACUGAGAUGGGAUCUCCUGCACGCCACUCUGGUUUAGAACACAAAGAAUGUGUCUGCAUAAAUAUCCUCUGAAAUUGAACAACCCACAAACGCAAAGCACCUCCAAGUUGGAGGCAUUGUACAAAACAUCGAAAGCCCUUGAGUCUUUCUCAUUGCUACCAACCUCGAAUUCUUCCUUCACUAUGUAUGUUAUAGGUCCAUCAGCACUAACAUGUUUUGUGCUAUAGCAAGAGUACAUAGCCUCCACCUCCGUCUGAAACUUCCUUAACAUUUCAUUUGUGUACAGUUUUGAGAGUUGAAAUUCAUAGUAACAUCUUGGUUUCUGGAUACAACUUGAAUUUCUUGAAUCCAUAUCUGCCAAGGCUUCCAGUUGAUAAUUCGCCCGCAGUGCUUGAUCAUACUUGUCUAAGAAUUCUUUCAAAGGAGUAUUCUUAUCAAGAUAUCCUUCAAAGUAUGAAGUAGAAACCUCAUUCUGCGGGAACGAAAACACUCCUGAUAAAAAAGCUUCCUUCAAAUAAAUAGGAGCCCACCUUUUACGAUCUUCAUAUAAAGUUUGAAUCCAUCCGUGAUCCUUUAUUCCAUGACGUUGAAUCAUGUCUUUCCAAGCUGCUUCAAAUUUCUCAGGCCUGAGAGAGUGAUAAAUUGCUCUAUGUAAUGCAGCUUUAAUAGCUUCAUAUUCAAACAAUCCUUGGAGUUUCACUGGAAUUUUUUGCAUGAUGCAUGACAAUGAAAAGCAACGAUAAGCUCUUGGGAAAACAUCGCCAACAGCAAUUUGCAAGAUUCUACAUUGGUCAGUGAUGAUUGUUUGUGGAGAGCGCCCUAACAUACAUGUAAGCCACGCCCUAAACAACCAUGUAUAUGAUUCUAUGGUCUCACUGGCAAGUAAACCACAACCCAACAACACUGAUUGUCCAUAAUGAUUCACCCCAAUGAAUGAAACCAGUGGUACAUCAUAUCUUUCAAUCAAGCACGUAGUAUCAAUUAAGACUACAUCACCAAAGUACCUAUAUGCAACUCUUGACCUGGUAUCAGUCCAGAACAGGUUUCUCAAGCAUCCCUUUUCAUUUAGAUCCACUACAUUAAAAAAGUUUGGAUCUGUCAACUGCAAACGACAAAAGAAACUCUGGACAGCUUGUGCAUCACCUGGUUUAAGCUUCAAUUGAUUUGAGCUAUUAACAUUAUUUCCAAAUACUCCAUUAACAUCUACAUUACCAUUUCCCUAGGCAUCAAUGAUAAGAGUUCGAAACAGUUUAAUUUUUUGAACUUCUUCAGCACUAUCUAAAUGCAAUGUUCUUUUGGUUCCAAUACCUAUGUGCUUAUGUGACUUGCAAAACUUUCCACUUCUUGGGCUUAACAAGUGGUUAUGCUCAAGCUCGACUUCAAUGAUUCUCCACCUUUUGGUUUCCAUCAACCUAAACUUUAUCAUUGCUGGACAGCCAGCUCUUGUUUCUGGUCUUGGACGGUUUGCCUCACUUUUCUUCUUGAAGCUUGCACUACUACAGCUCAGCUUUCCUCUAUACUUUUCUCUACUCUUUCAGUACCAGGUAUUGCUAACUCUAACACCAAAACCCUGUUCCUUGGCAUAGCAAUUGUAAAAGUAAUAUACAUCAUCGUACAUCUCAAACUCCAUUCCAACAGCAGGAGGCAAGGGAUUUUGGAUUAUCCCAGUUUGUCCAACAUAUUCAGUCAUCGCACAAUCUCCUACGACCUCAAAAUCAUCAGUGUCAUCAUCACCUAUUGGUUCGGUGUUGAGAGAAACUUCAUCCAUCUACAAUGGAUGUUCAAUGAAGUGAGCUUUAAGGAGAAAAAGCAAAAUCAGUUCAAGGAAUCAUAGUAUAAUCAUACAGUUACUUUCACAAAGCUUCAUAUUUCAUCACUGCUUUACCAACAUGCAACUGCCAGAGAACAAACAGACAUGUCAUAGACGCUUGAAUUAAGUAUUGGUACAAAUGAGCACACAUCAUGUGGGACAAAAUUUCAGUCACUAAACCCAAUACCACUUUUUACAUCAUACCAAGGAACAGAUUAAACCCGACACCUUCUUUUAAACCAUACCAAGGAACAGAUUAAAUCAUCAAUGAAAAAUUAAUCACAUAAUAACUUAACCAGACAAAUGAAGAGCCUGAAACAGCACAAAACUUGAAUCUGAUUAUGAUAAUUGUUGAGUCCUUGUAUCUACAGCUUUCCUUCAAUGAUAAGACAAUGAACAUAAACGAGACACAAAAAAUUUAUUUUAAACUGACAGCCCAUGAUAUAAAUCAAACAAAAUCAACUCCUUUUUUUACACAUCACAUCUCAUAUUCAUUUACAUUGAAACACAAAAAGGAAGCGGGAGUGGGAAAAAAACAACAGCAGAGGAACUUAUUUCCAUAAGGUUUACGAAAUAAGGAAUCUAUUAAAACCCAAAACUUGAGGUCACCACAAAGAAUUUGGUUCUCAUUAUUUUUUUCUUCAUUUUUCACCAAUUGAUGAACUUAAAAUACAAUCAUAAAUGAUAAAACCCCAUCUCAAUCUUUUUGAACUAGAGCUAAAGCAAAGCAUUUUAAGAUGUUUCAUCAUUUUUUUUUUAAAAAAAACCUCAAUAGUACAAUGUUUUUACUCUAAUAAUCUCUUAAUUAAGGAAGAUUAAGCUUCAGUUGUAAGCUAAAACAAAUUUCUUAAAUCAAGCCCCAAUGCUUUAUGCUAUUCAACAAGGGCUCAUAAAUGAUAAAACUACUUCUACAAAGAUACCCAUUUUCUAAAUUAAUUUCAAAAACUGAAAUCAAACUCCUGAAACGUAACGAGCAUUAAUAUAAUCAAACCCGAACAAGAAUUGAAAAAUGACACAUAAACUCGUUUACACAUUUCGACAGACACUUUGCAAUCAAUGAGCAAAAAAUUAAUGGAGAAGAUAAAAUUCAAACGAAACAUGCCUUACAUUGAUCAAUUAGAAGGGCAAAAGAAAUUUUAGUACGAUAUGGGAUCAGGGUCUUGCCACGGUGAUGUUAUUUGUGAUGUUCGAGCGACUCAGCGGCCUUCGAGGUUGAAAAUUUGAUUGACCAAAAGCUUCCCGUUUGUUGAUUCUCUAAUAGCAGAAACGAGACUGGCAGUAAACACAACAACUUCGCUGAUUUUAAAUUCCGUUGUUUGAGAUGGAAAACUUUUUGAAAAAAUUAAUGUGUUCGAUGAAUAUCAAAAUCUAAAAAACUUUUUGUUUUUCAUUUUUUUGGAAAAAACCAUUGAGAUCCUUACUAUUUUUUCUUAUAUCAUCUUGCUUAAUAAUUUGCAAAGUCUAUCGCAUAGCACCCAUGCAUGAUGUAUGCUGCGUAACUGCGUUGUAAUUUACAAAAUUGUAAAUUUGUUAAAAGAAAAUAAUAAUAACAAGUUAAAACUUUAAAAUUUUUAUCAUUCGAAGAAAUUUUAAUUUAGUUAAGUAGGUGACAUGAUAAUAAAUAGAUACGUAUAAUGUCCGAGAUUUUUUAUAAGAUUAAUAAAUAUGAUAAAUUUGGAUUAGUUCAAUUUUGACGUAAUUCAGAAUAAACACAUCUUCCUAAUCUAAAAAUAAUUACAAACAAUUUAAUUUGUGUUGUUUCUCUAAAAGUUUGAGACACAAAUGUUAUUGCAAAUUGAAACGCCAUGCACUAGUAGAAGGUAAGAGAAACCAAGGUUGAAGUUACUGUUCAUUUAUUUUUAUUUAUGAUUUUUUGUAAAAUGUAAGAAAUAUGUAGAAAUGUUGCCAGCAAUGAUUUUGGAACUUUGCAUAAAAUUUUUAUCAUUAUUGUUUUUGGUAUUAAGAAAUCCGAGGCGGUGAUUAGUCGUAUGUUGCAACAAUUAAGAAAUUUCUUAUUGGAGAUAAUUUGGUAGGUUGCAACAAUUAGAGAAUAAUUUUCCUGUCAGUUAAUCAAUCAAUAAUAAAUUUCAAAUUGCAGAAAAUAAAAUAAUACUGUCGCACUUAGAAUCAUCUUUUCUAUUUCUUUCAAUUGUGACAAUCAUUUGUAACAAAUAAAUCAAUUUGAUGCACAUCAUUUCCCCAAUUCAAAGUUCAAGUCACUGCUCAAUUGCAGGGUAGUUAGUAGACAUGCAUGCAUGUUUAAUUAAGUACUGCAUUGUAAUAUAGAAAAUCAUAACAUCUCACCAAGCCCGGAAGCAUAGCUCUUUAUCUUGUAAAUGUUGAAAUCUUAUGCAAACUAUGGGAAACAUGAUCUCACUCUCAGUGCCACUUGAUUCCAUUUUCUUUGUUGGGAAUGCUACGAAGUCUAAGCUUGAAGAUAAUCUCGAUGCCUUGCGGACUGCAAUGGAAAAAUAAGCGGAAACGAGAAAUGAUGUGAUAAAUUGUGAGCCAACAAUAGUGGGCAUGGUGUCGACUUUUGAGAAAGCCUGGAGAUGCCUUGAAGAAGAAUCAGUUGGAAUUAUUGGCCUGUAUGUUAAUGGGGGAGUUGGAAAAUAUUUACUCAAAUCAACAACAAGUUCCUUGAUGGUCCAAAUAAUUUUGAUGUUGCGAUCUGGGUAGUGGUCUGCCAAGAUUUACAACCCCAGAAGUUUCGGGAAAAGAUUGGGAAAAAGAAAGGCUUGUUCGAUGAGUCAUGGAAGAACUGAAGUUUUGAAGAGAAAGCACUCGACAUAUUCAAGAAUUUAAGCAAGACGAAGUUUGUAUUACUGCUGGAUGAUAUAUGGGAGCAGGUUGAUUUAAUUAAAAUUGGUGUCCCUCUUCCAAGCACAAAAAUUACAUUCAAGAUAGUCUUCACAACUCGUUUUAUUGACAUUUGUGGCCUCAUGGAAGCUCACAACAAGAUUAAAGUGGAGUGUUUAAAUGACGAAGAAGCAUGGGAAUUAUUCUGCAAGAAGGUUGGAGAAGAUGUGGCGACUCUGUCCAAGUGCUAAGGAGAUCAGCCUCAGAAUUUCUAGGUAUGUAAAAAUGAGUAUAUAUAUCCACUUUUGAAAUUCAGUUAUGAUAAUUUACCUAGCGAUAAAAUUAGAUCGAGUCUGUUAUACUGUAGUUUGUUUCUGGAAGACUUUCCAAUUAGCAAAACGGAAUUGAUACAUUGUUGGAUAAGCGAGGGCCUUUUGGAUGAAACUAAUAGUUCUGAGAUAUGAAAUCAAGGAUACUACAUUAUUGGUGUUCUUGUUCCUUUAUGUUUAUUGGAAGAAGAGGCUCCACUAUAUGUAAAAGUGCAUGAUGUGAUACGCGAUAUGCUUCUGUGGAUCGCAUGUGAAGUUUUUUUUUUCUUUUUGAUAGGGAUAGCAUGUGAAGUUGAGAAGGAGAAAGAGAAUUUUUUGGUUCGUGCAGGUGCAAGGAUUAACUGAAGUGCCAGACAUUUGGAAAUGGGAAGGGUUGAGAAGGGUGUCUUUCAUGAGCAACAAAACUGAGAAGUUAUCAGAAAUUCCUUCAGAUCCCCAUCUACCGACUUUGUUGCUUCAACGUAAUUAUUUAGAGAUGAUCAAUAAUGACUUCUUCCAAUCUAUGAAUUCCCUUAGAGUUUUGAACUUAUCAUGUAAUCAUUCUCUAAUUGAUAAUUUCAAAGUUAGUUUCCCUACAACAUCUUAAUUUAUCAAUGACUAACAUACGAGAGUUGCCGAAUGAGUUAAAGUUUGUAGUGAAUCUAAAGUUUUUGAAUGUGGAGUAUGCACGGUUUCUUCAUUCAAUUCCAGGGCAAGUGAUAUCCAGUUUUACGAUGUUACACGGUUUGAAGAUGUUUGGUUGUGGGAGGUCAUCUUCUGAUCAUGAGCCACACUAGAAGAUAGAGUUUUAUUUGAAGGCUGUAAACUUUUGAUUGUGGAGUUGUUUGGUUUGAGAGACAUCUAGAUGUGUUGACCAUCAUCCUAACAAGUUCCCUUGCUCUGAAAAGAUUUUUGAGCUACAACAAACUUCAAAGUCGUACUCAAUCUCUCUAUCUUAAAUGCUUUGAUUCAAAUCUUCUUGUUUUUUCCAUAAAACAUUGCCAUGAUAUGGAGGAAAUACUCAGUGUCGGAAAAUUAGGUGAAGAGAUGAUGUCAAAUCUGGAACCUCUUACAAAACUCCAAGUUCGUUGCUUGAAGAAGCUACCAAAUUUGAAGAGCGUCUACUGGAAGGCCUUGCCCUUGCCCAAUGUAUGCAUAAUUUUUGUAUCUAAAUGCCCAGAACUUAAGAAGCUGCCGCUGGAUUUUGAAAGGGCGGGCGAAGGUAAAAUUCUUAUCAAGUGAAAGGAAAAUCGAUGGAAACGACUUCAAUGGGAGGAUCAAGCAACUCAGAAUGCAUUGCUUCUGUUUUUCAAAUCUAGUGAUUGAAGGGGGCAACAUCAACAUCAUCAGCCUGGAUGGGGAGAUUCUGGAGCAGAUCAGUAGGGUUUGAAUCUACAUCAUUAACAUCAUCAGGGUCUGUAUUUCUAUUGCUGGUCUUAAUGCUUGCUUACUGUUGCUUGACAAAGUGAGCCAGUUUUUUGUUUAUUAAAUUUUGUCUUGUAGAGACAGUCACAAAGUAUGGGUUGUUCUAUGUGAGAGUGAUGUGAAUCAAUUUUUCAAUUAUAUAUUCUGUGGUCAUUGUGAAUUUUGUUUAGAGAUGCAAACUUAGAAUAUGGAAAAGUUCAUCGGCAAACAUUUUGUAAAAGCUUCCAACUGAAGUUUUCAUAAUUAAAUAAUAAAAAAAUAGGAAGUGACGAAAAAAUUAUCCUAGGUGUUACGAAAAAACAUGAGCUCCGAAAAUAUUGGAAGUGACGAAAACUUAGGGCUAGGGUUUGAGAACUCUAACCCGCCACCACUGCAAGAGGACAGGACGACUAAGAAGGCCCGGUUUCGGGCUGAGGGAAUUGAUGCUGAUAAUCCUCAUAAACCCUCUUGGAGAGAUAAGGCUAUGGAGGCAGUCACGGUGAUGGCAGGUCAGACAGGAAGGAUUGGAGAGUUGGGUUACGGCAGUGUAUGCUAGCCCUAUUCCAACAGUCCUGCGUGAAUUAUGGUAUCACCUUGCAAGUAUUGCUUCUCAAAUGUUGGAUCCGUGGUUGGUGGGCGGAGAUUUCAAUGCUAUCUUAUACGCACAUGAGAAGAAAGGGGGCUCGAACCGAAUAAGUGGCACUUGCAAUUUAUUUAAUCAUUGGUUUCAUUCUUGCAGGAUGCUUGAUCUAAAGUUCUCCGGCCCUCGCUUCACUUGGUCUAGGGGAAACCUUUCUAAACGAUUGGAUAGAGCGGUUUGCAAUAAUGGAUGGCUAAUAAAACAUGCAAAUAGUAGUGUCAUGCAUCUUCCAAAAAUUGAUUCCGAUCAUCGGCCUAUUCUAGUCAAGUUCCAGAACAUGGAUUCCAAGCAUGGGGGCCCGAGGCCAUUUCGAUUUUUGGCUGCAUGGCUCACAGAUGAGAGAUUUGGGAGUUUUAUGAAUGAUAGCUGGAAUAAGGGAGAGAAUUUUCUUGAGGCAGUGGCUGAUUUUACUCAACAAACUAGGUGGUGGAAUAAGGAAAUUUUUGAAAAUAUUAUUUAUCGGAAGCGGAAAUUGUUGGCUAGAAUAGGUGGGAUCCAAUGAAUUUUGGAAGCCAAGCCUAACCAUAGCCUUACUAGACUUGAAGUUAAGCUUCAGAAGGAGCUCGAAGAGGUUCUCACUCAGGAAGAAUUAUUGUGGCUUCAGAAAUCCAGGAGAGAUUGGACUUUGUAUGGUGACCGCAACACUGCUUAUUUCCAUAAAAAAAUGCUAACCAGGCAUCGCCAGAAUCGGAUUACUGCAAUUCAAAAUGAUACUGGGCAGUGGAUACACGACGUCGAGAUCAUUAAGCAACGUGCAGUCAAUUUCUUUUUGGAAUUAUACACGCCUGAACAAGGGGUGCAUAGAACAUAUAAUGUCAGGGGGUGUUUCCCUGAGACGUCAGAUGAUAUUUGUUUAAGUUUGAUGUCUGCGGUAACAGAUGAGGAAAUCAGACAUACUAUUUUCAGUAUGAGUCCUUUUAAAGCUCCUGGAGUUGAUGGCUUUCAUGCUAGUUUUUACCAAGCGCAAUGGAAUACAGUUGGUAUGUCUUUGAGCUCUUUAAUCAAAAAUAUUUUUAAUUCUAAUCAUAUCCCUGCAGAGAUCAACAGAACCUUGCUGGUGCUCAUUCCUAAAGUGUAUCAUCCAACAAGCCUCAAGAUGUUUCGGCCGAUCAGCCUUUGCACAAUUCCGUAUAAAACGGUGACGAAAAUUAUUGCAAAUAGGUUACAGGUUUUUCUUCCAGAUCUCAUUGGACCCCAACAAACCAGUUUUGUACCGGGUCGGCAUAUUACAGAGAAUAUUGUUAUUGCUCAAGAGGUAAUCCAUACAAUGAAGAAAAAUGUGGGGGGUAAAAGAAUGAUGGCGGUUAAAGUGGACUUGGAAAAGGCUUAUAACCGGUUGAGUUGGCGAUUUGUUCAGGAAACUUUACAGGAAGUUGGGCUACCGGAGCGAUUUAUUCACCUCAUAAUGGAGUGUUUGUCCACAGCCCAAAUGAAUGUUUUGUGGAAUGGAGAAAUGACUGAAGAUUUUCGGCCAGGGAGAGAAAUUCGACAAGGAGACCCUCUUUCGCCUUAUAUUUUUGUGCUUUGUAUUGAAAGAUUAAGUCAUGGGAUUAUCCAGGCGGUUAAUCAAGGUAGAUGGAAACACAUUUGACUGACUCGAACUGGCACUCCUCUAAGUCAUUUAUUUUUUGCGGAUGAUCUGCUUCUCUUUUUGGAAGCAAGUUACGGCCAAGUUGAUGUAUUGAAUGAUGUGGUGGAGAAUUUCUGUAGGAGCUCGGGCGCUAGAGUUAGUAAUCAAAAGACCCAAGUCUUCUUCUCCAAAAAUGUCCCGGUCACUUUAGCCAAUGGAAUUGGCAAGGCUUUAGGCUUCUCGGUUACAAAUAAUUUGGGAAGAUAUCUUGGCAUGCCUCUUCUUCACGAUCGGGUUUCUAAGAAAACGUAUCAGAGUAUCAUUGACAAAAUUGAUCAGCGGCUAUCAGGAUGGGCAGCAAAGCAAUUGUCUCUGGCAGGGAGAGUUACUCUCACUCAAUCGGUGCUUCAGGCAAUCCCGAUUUACGCUAUGCAAACCACGUACCUCCCAUCUAGUGUCAGAGUUAAAAUUGAUCAAUUAUGUAGAAGAUUCAUUUGGAGUGGGGCUGGUUCUCAACGCAAGUUAAGUUUGGUUAGCUGGGACAACAUUUGUAGGCCUAAGAGCAAUGGAGGGCUCGGUUUCAAGGACAUGGAACUUAUGAACAAAGCCUUACUAAUGAAAGUGGCUUGGGAUUUAUUCAUAAAUCCUAGCAAGCUGUGCUCCCAGGUUUUAAUUUCUAAUUAUGUUGCGCCUUGUGAUAUGAUUACUACUGAUGCUUCAUUUAAAAAUGGUUCCUAUUUAUGGCGCUCUAUGGGUAAGAUUUGGAAAGACUUCCAGAAGGGUUUGCGUUGGAGUAUUGGAAAUGGCCAACGGGUGAAGUUUUGGGAUGAUAUUUGGGCUACAAAUGGUGAUCCCUUAAUCAACUAUACGGUGGCUUCAAUUCCGGAUAGCAUGCGAAAUAUGUUGGUGGCGGAUUGUGUGGAUCAAAAUGGGAAUUGGUUGUGGAACAUAUUCAACUCUUUUUUGAAUAACCAUGCUGUUUUAAGGAUUGCUUCCAUGGCUCCUCCGUCGUCAAUGAGAGGCGAGGAUAGGAUGUAUUGAGGUGCAUCAAAUACUGGCAAUUUUACAGUCCAAUCAGCUUACCAAGUGCUUACGAAUUUUUGCCCCGCUGAAGACUGUCAAGACUGGCAACAUUUGUGGAAAUGGAAGAGGCCUCAAAGCGUAAGAAUUUUUCUAUGGUUAUUAUGCCAUGAUCAAUUGAAGACGGGAUGUGAGCUUGCUAGAAGGCAUCUGGACGUCGAGGCUUUAUGUGGGAGGUGCCAUGCAGACGUUUAGAAUUCUUUGCAUGCAAUUCGAGAUUGUGAUUAUUCGAGAGGUGUUUGGCGGAAGCUUGUUCCCGCGCUUAGACAACAUGACUUUUUUAGUUAUCCUCUUUGGCAAUGGAUCAUGACAAAUCUUAGGAGAAGAGUCUGUGAUAUGGGGAGCUUAUUUUGGCCGAUUAUGUUUGGUAUUGCGGCUUGGAGAAUUUGGUAUUGGAGGAACCAGGUGAUGUUCAACAACAAGAGCUGGAAUGGUGAUUUGAUCGUUCGAGAUAUUAAGGCAAGGACUGAGAGUAUUUGUUCUACUCUUUCAAGCAUAGGCUAUCGAAGAAAUGAAAGGAUUCAGAAAUGGAUUCGUUGGGCUCCUCCACCAUGGCCUUUCUUGUGCUUAAAUACGGAUGGUGCAAGGAAAGGAAAUGGAGAGGCGAGUGCAGGUGGGCUGCUGCGGGACUGUCAUGGUAAUUUUAUUCAUGGUUUCAGCGCACAUCUCGGAGUUUGUUCAGUUCUAAAGGCUGAACUUUGGGGUGUCUUGCAUGGGUUAAGAAUGGCAUGGGAUCUUGGCUAUAGACGUAUCCAAGUUGGAGUAGACAACUGUAGUGUGGUGCAAAUUAUAAGGGAAAAUAAUGCUCAUGUCAACGAAAUUUCGAAUAUAAUCGAGAUGAUUAGAGAACUCAUGAGGAGGGAUUGGAGGAUUCAAAUUGAUCACAUCUACCGCGAAGCAAACUCGGCAGCUGAUUUCCUUUCUACGCAUGCUUUGAGUUUACUUGUUGGAGUACAUUUUCUUCAUUCUGCACCUUUAGGUUUGAGAUCUAUUUUAUAUUUGGAUAUGUAUGGGGUGGCACACUCCCGGUUUGUGCCCCUUUAGCUCUUCUCUUUUAGAGCCUUUUGUUUAUCAAAAAAAAAAAAAAAGCUUCCAACUGAAAUAGGGAAUGCACUUACUACUAAGGACAGUUGGUGGCCACCUAAUGCAUUCAUUUUAUAUCAAUUCAUCAUUUUAAUUAUUGAAAACAAGUGGCUCAUCGCUUUUACUUUAGGUAAAAUUCGGAUAAUCUCUAUUAUGAAAUGAUAAUAUUCUCUUAAAUUAUUAUAAACCUCAGCCAAUCUUAAUUUUAUUUAAAAGAUAAAAGAAAAAUAGGUUAUGUUGGUGACUUUUUUCUUAUCUUUUUAAUAAAAAUAAAAUAAAUUGAUGUUUAUAAUUGUUUAAAAUACUUUAAAGAUUGUUAUUUUAUGAGAGAGUAAUAUUUUACUUUUUUAUUGUGAAAUGCUAAAAAGGACAAAGCAAGUGUCCCUGGUUUUUAUUUUAUUUGAAAUUGGUCAUCUCAUAUACUUUACGUUUCAACACUACAAUUUUUUUGGUUAUAUUUUUAUUAUUUUUUUCUUUCUUACACAUGCACGUAAAUUUUCUUUCUUUAAGCUCCUGAAUAUUUAAGACAAAUCAUGGAAGAGAUGAAAGUAUAACAAGAUGAUCAAAAUACGUAACAAAAAAUUUACAAGUGAAACAUACGUUAGAGUCGAAGUAAAACUCUGAAAAUAGAGAUAUUGAUUAAUUUAGAAGAGAUGCAAGCAAAAGAUUUUCUUAAAAAAAAGAAAAGCAAUUUGUCCCUUUCCAGGGCAAACUUGUUAGUCUCAAAAAGGUACAUUCUUUGAAUUGAUAGUUGCAGGAUUUUUGUCUUGUUUUUGUUGUUGUGCAUUAGUUGGAGAAGUCAAGCCUAGUGAAAAAUGUUAUGAAAGAGCAAAGGAUAUUUCUGACAGCUUUAUUUAAUUAUGUAUUCAUUUAAUGGAUGUAUUGUUAGAAGAUAUUUAAGUGCAUUAGUUCAUCCGUGUCUGUUGAUGUGCUUUUAGUGAUUUUUCCAGCUGUUUGUUGUAAAAGAUGAUUGUAAAUUGAAAUGAACUUGAUGUUGUAAUAUUUUCUCUUUUGUGGAAUCUCAGUUGUGUUGUCUAUAAUUUUAGUCAAAAUUAUUGUUAUUAUUUCUUACUAGAGGUAAAUUUUUUAUUAAACCUCAUUAACACAAUUCUUAAUUAAAAGUAUAGGUUAGUGUCGGUGCAGGAUUUGCAGCACCAGAUCCUGCCUAGCUACGUGUCAAAAAUACAAAAUAAAUGAAGAGAAAGCACAAAUACAUGACUUGGAUUAGGAUAGAAGGAAACUUAAAUCUUAAAGAAAAUGAUAGCUAUAUCCCACUAUUUGAAAAAAUGGUCAUGUAGAUUUUUAAGAUUUAAAUAAGGGACGGAGAUCUUCUUUUGACAAAUAAUAUCUUUUAGCUCUCUCAAGUAAAAAAAAAAUUAAAUAUUUUAUAAUAAAUAAAAAUAUAAUAUUAAAAUAUACGUGAUAAUAUAUACAUUUUAAAUAAUUUCAAUCCAAAAAAAUAGUUAUGUUUUAUCGAAUCUACCUAUGUUACAAUAGUAGUAUGGUACCACAAUAUUUGUUCUUAUCCAAUGUAAUCAUUGGAUGAUUUAGAGCUUAAUCUAACGGCUUAAAUUAUUUUUCUGAAUAUUUGAAGCAACAACUUGCAACCGUUGGAGCCGGUUGCAUAUUAAUUUAAUAUCAUUUGGGGAAGCGUACGGUCAGGAAGUUUCUUAGUAUGCCACCAAUGGAAUUUGAUUUCAUCUCAAAUCGAUCUGCAGGCAGCAAUUGGGAAAUUACACUCACGGUCUUCCUCUUCUUCACUUCCUCUCUACUCUUCACUUUUCUCACUCUCGCGAUGUUUACAGCAUGAUAAGUACAAUUACAAACCAGGAAAUGCCAUUAACAAUUUUCAUUUGUCUUAGUCGUUUUUUUUUUUUUUAGUAGAAAGCCAAAAAAGAAAACGGGUGGGAGGUUGGGGCGUCGUGAUGAAAUGGUUUUGAGUUUUUGACGGAAUGUUUGUUUUUGUGAUUCAUUUAGGGUUUGAAUUCAGGCUUGUACGAACUCGGAUCUAUUCGAGAUCCGUAUUGGCGCUGAAAUCAGAUCCUUUGAAGCCUUGGUUUGAAUUCAACCUUGAGAACUCCAAGCUUGUUAGAAUCUUCAUUGAUCUCUCCAGAAAUUACACGGAUCUUAUUACUAAACCCUACAUAUAGGGCUGCAAUGGAGUCCGAUUCUCUCACAAUUGAUGAAUCAAUAUUGAGACAGUUCGAAAAGGAAGUAAAAAAGAGAAUCAACUUGACUGGCUAAAUAAUUGCGGAGGCCAAAGAGUCUUUUGAUAAUCAAUUGAAGAUUUAGAAGUUAAAAGACACUAUUUUUACUAUGAACGAACAAUUGACUAAGGCGAAAAAGCAAGGAGCUUUUUUGAGUUUGAUUGCUGCGAAAUCGAUGCCUUAGAGUUUGCAUUGUUUGGCCAUGAGGUUGAUGAAAGAGCGAGUUGUUCAUCCGGAGAACUAUAAUGAAGAAGGGAAGCCCACACAUGCAGAAUUCGAGGAUCCCAAACUUUAUCAUAAUGCUAUUUUUUCUGGGUAAUAUGCUUGCAGCUUCGGUGGUGGUGAUUGGUGAAUUUAGCUGUUAAGAACUCGAAGGAGCCUUGGAAACAUGUGUUUCAUGUUGUGAUGGAUCAAAUGUUUAAAUUGAAGGAUUAUAAUGGAGCACAUUUAGGCACGAAGGCUGUUGAGGAUUAUAAGUUUUUGAAUUCUCACAUGUCCCUGUGUUAAGGCAGCCGGGGUUUGCUAAUUUGCAAAGGUUUUACUUCGGGAAGUAGCUUGAGAAUGCUACGAAAGAUGCUACUAACAUGAAGUUUAGGAAUCCCAAUUACUUGUUGAUACUGUAUCAUUUGAGGUUCUGGAUAAGAUUUCAAUGAUGGCCGCUUAAAACAAAUAAUAAAAAAAAAGAACUUGUACUGUAUUUGGAUCUUUACUUAUUUGAUAUAGUUUUCUGCAAUCUCUCCAUGCAACCGGUUACUUUAAUUAUCCACUAACUCAUCUCAACCGUUUGAUGGACUCACUUUAUAUCCAACGGCAGUUUUAAAUGAAGACAAAAAGUGUGGUAUGUUGCAAUUGUUGCAACAUAUGUGAGUCUUGUUUUACAAUCUAUUUAACAUAUUUUAUUAAAUUAAUAUAUUUCUAUGAUAUAGGAACAUAAUAUUAAAAUAAAUUUACAAAAAUUUAAAGAAUUUUGAAUGUAAAACAAUUUCAAUAUAUUAAUAAUGAGAUUUUUUUAUUAUUAUAAAAAUUAUUUAACCCAUAGAUUUUUUUAAAUCUUUACAAUAAGUAUAAAUAUAUUAUCUUCACUUAAAAAUAUUUAAAUAUUAUUAACCUAUAAUUAGGUUUGCAUUUAUUAGAAAAUUUUAAAGUCAAAUAUAUUGCACUUUUGCAUUAUUAGAAUCAUCACAGAGAAAGGAGCAUAUAUACUUUAUAACUUUAAAAAUUGGUUUCUUCUGGAAACAGAGAUGAUGAUUAUUAUAAGGAUGAAAAAAAAAAGAUAAAGAAUAUUAAUGAUUAACGAAAUCUCUAUGCAAAUUGAUUUUAGUAGGGAAAGAGUGAGAUGAAUAACUUCUUUUACAGCUAAAAACAGAGAUGAUGAUUAUUAUAAGGUUGAAAAAAAAAGAUAAAGAAUAUUAAUUAUUAAUGGAAUCUCUAUGCAAAUUGAUUUUAUAGGAAAAAAGCGAGCUAAAUGAUUUAGACAUUCAUAGUGUAUUUAUUUUUGAAUUGGUGAAUAAGAAUUAUUGACAACGCUAACUUCAUCUUCACCGUUGGCUAUCCAAUAGCGGCAAUUGUCGCCGAUUAUGAUAUCUCCAAUGAUGAUGACGGUUUUUUUAUUAUUAUUAUUGGUGACCCCUUGGAAAGUUAACUGCAACUGCCAAUCAGAGAAAAGUCGUCAUGCACAAUCCUCAAUCGAACCAAUCAUCUACGUUACAGAAUCUGAAACGUACACACUGUUAACAUAUAUGUUUCCAUAAUGUUGAUUUUGAUGAUAACAAACAAGAUUAAGAAUGAUUAAUCUUUUAAGCUCAAAUUAUUUUUAUGCAUUUUAAAUAAAUCAUUAUUUUUACAUUAUAAAGGUUCUAUAUUUAAUGGAAAAAUGAUUUUAUGAAAUUGAUUGUUUUUUAUUCUUUUUAAAUAAAUCAUUAUUUUCACAUUAUAAAUGUUUCAUAUUCAAUGGAAAAAUGAUUUUAUGAAAUUGGUUGUUUUUCAAAGUUUAUGGUUUAAUUGAAAGAAUUUUGAAAACUUUGAAAUAAACAAGUAUUGCUUGAAAUUUCAGAUUUGGACUUAUUUGAAACUAUUUAAAUGUUUUUAGGCUAUUCUAUAAUUUCACAAAGUUUGGGCGAAAUUAUAAUUUCAGAACGUUGUGGGAUUGACAAAGUAUUAUUCUAAAAUUCUGAAAUUGGACUUAUUUGUAAAUUUUCAUAACGUUUUGGGUUAUAGUAUAGUUUUAUAAAGUUUUGGGGUCAAAUUAUAAUUUCAGAAAAUAGUGCACUGUGCAGGUUACUGUGGCAUCCGGCUUACCGGAUAUAAAAAUCGGAAAACCGGAUACGGGGCAGAAUGUAUCCAGAAUGUAAACGGCUUACCGGAUUUCGUAACCAGCAAGCCGGAUAGGCAAAAUUCAAAUUUUUGCCUUAACGGUAACAUAAAUCCAGCUUAUCGGAUUCCAUAAAUGGCAAACCGGAUACGCCCAGAAUGUGAGUAACGGCUAGUUUUUGAGUUCAAACUAUAUAAACUCAAAACCAAUUCAUUUUUGGUAAUCCAAGCAAGAAAGAACAAGUGCACAUAACAUAUAUUGAGCUUCAAUUUCGUAACUCAUCAUUUAUUAAAUCAUCUUUGUUUUUCAAUUUGUAUAUCCACUCUUAAAGAGAGAUUCAUUGUUGUAUUUUUCAUUUCUCAUCAAAUUGUGAGUGUACAAGUGUGAGAAACACUUGGGGUGAAGAGAUUGGAGAGAUAAUCUCUUGUUGUAAAGGUUCAUUAACACAUUGAAGUCAAUUGUAAACGUUUGAAGCCUUGGAAAUGCUUGGAUAGUGAAAUCCUCAAGCCCGGUGUGCUUGGAAGCGUGGACGUAGGCGGAGAUUACCGAACCACGUAAAAAUCCUUGAGUUUGCUUUCUCUUCCCUUACUCUUUAAUUAUUGUGCUUUGAUUGAACUUAUUGCUUUCAAUUUUUAUUAAGACAUUAGAUUAAAUUGUUGUGUGGUUUGCCUAGGAUAAUUUUUAAAAUCUCAAUUCACCCCCCUCUUGAGUUGCCUAGUUAGUAUUUCACACACCCAAUGGGAAGCAGCACACGUGUUCUGAGGAGAGAGAGAAAAAACCGUGCAAAUGCAAGCAAUAGGUAUUGGCUACAGUUGGAUCUGUAAGUUACAGAAUCUGUAACUUAGCCAACUCCCUCAAUGAUCAAUAUUGUUUCCGAUAUUUAUAAAUUGGUGGCCCCUUGGAAAUUUAACUGGAAGUUUGCAAGUGUCAAUCAGAAAAAAAUCGUCAUCCAUUGUUUUUUUUUUUCUGCAUUCCCUUUCAUGUUCUUAAUAAUUGAGGACAGGUUGUUCAUAACAUUUAUACUUUUCAAAUGUGGAGCUGCAUUUAAUGUCGCUAUUUUAAUUUGGGAUUAAAUUAGGGGAACACUAACUUUUAUAUUUAUCUAAACUCCUUAAAUUUAAGACAGAUUAUGGCGUAAAUAAGAAUAUAAUAAUAACAAAGGAAUUAAAAAGUAUAAUGACGAUCUUGCAGAAAUAUAAAUAUUAGCGUUGAAUUAAAUAACAUAGAACACAUGAAUUGAAUAGUGAUUAUCAAGACGGUGUUACUUGCACUCCUAUUUAUAAAAAAUCUUGGUUCUGUUCCAUUAGAUUUUUUAUCUUCAAAAUCUUGCAAAGUUUUGACAACCCAAAGGCUCAGUUUGGUUGUUCUAUAUUUGUAUGAUAUGAAUUCAAAUUUUUGUGUUCUGUUUUUCUUAAUUCUGAACACGGAUUCUUCUCUUCUCGUGCAAACCAGAAAGAAAUGUUGUCUUACAAAAAAAAAAGGGGAAUAACUUCAUGAGAACAAAAAUUCAGAAAAAUAAUAUAAAGUUUAUAUUUAGACUUUUGUGGUAUAUUUUAAUUUUCAACAAUGAGUUAAAGAAAAUAAUAAAUAAAGUAAAUAAAAGUUUAGAGAUUCAAAUUUUUAGUAUUGGAUUCUUUAAUUCAAAUACCUCUCAUUAAUUAACACUUAAAAGAGAGUUCACUAUUAUAAUUUUAAGUUUUUUGAUUUAUUAUUGAUAUAUAAAUUAGGAGUUUAAGCUUACUUUUUUAUUUUUCCAUUUUUUUUCAAAUUUGAAAUUAUUAUUUAAAUUUAUAAUUUUUUUUAAAAAAAUAGAGGGCUUGAGCCUGGCUUGGGUAUUGUUUCCUAAACCCUUAUCCGGCCCUGGCUUUUUUGCCAGCCCCAAUGAUGAUGAUGAUGAUUAUUUUAUUAUUAUUAUUAAUGAUGAAAAGUAUUAUAAUUAAUUAAUAUAUUAUUGUAUUGUUAUUAAGAUUAACAAUAAUUAUUAAUGAUAACAAUUUUUUGAAUAAAAAUAAUCACAAUAAUUAAAAUAUAAAUUAAUAAUUAUAACAAUAGUUAAUUAAUGUAUUUUUAACAAUUUGUAAUAAUUUAACUCAUUCUAAUUUCGAUUAUUAUAGUUAAGUAAACAACUUAUUAUAAUUUUCAUUCUCCAUUUUAAUUUCAGCUCAUUUCGAUUUCAGUCUAUUCCAAUUUUCAUUUAAUAAACGUUCCAUUAAUGCUAUAGUAAUAUUUCAUAUAGAAAAAAAUAAAAGCUACAACUAAGGUUAAGGGAAAGGACUUCAAAACUCUCUUUUUGUCAUAAUACAUUUUUUCCUAAUUAACUUAAAGAGUUUGAAUCUAAUAUUUUAUAAUAAAUAAAAAUAUAUUCCAAAAGUAAAUAUAAUAUAUCUAUUUUAAACUAAUCUCAAUAUUUAAAAUAUAUUUAAUAUUUUACAAUCUAUUAGACAUAUUUUAUUAUAUUAAAAUAAAUUUUAUAAUAAAUAUGAACAUACUGUUAAAAUGAAUAUAUAAAAAACUUAGAGUAUUUUGAAUAUUAUAUAAAAUAAUUUUAGUAGAAUACGUGAGAUAUAUUUUAUUAAUGUAAAAUGCUAUUUAAUCUAAAGAUUCAUUUAUGAUAAAUUAAUAAUUAUAUUUUUAAAAUUAUUUUAAAAAUUAAAUUUUUUUAAUAUUAUUAAUCUAUUAGACAGAUAAAAUUAUUUAUAUUAUUUUGUAUUUAUUAAAAAAAUUUAAAGUCAAUUUUUUUAAUUACUAUUCAAAGGAUAUAAUAAUUAAAAAAAUCUUAGCGUUUUCAUUAAAAAUUUAAAAAUUUACAUGACUAUUUCUGUAAAUAUUUAAGGUAUAUAUGAACUACGGUAGAGAAGCUUCAUUUAAUAUUAUUGAUUUAAAUAAUAUCUCAAUUAAAAAUGUACAGAGAAUAUAUUUCGGUGGGUAUUUUAAUCUUUUUAGCAAUUAUCAUGGUUAGCCCUUGGCCUUGAAACGUCUGUCAGAAAGGUUUUCAAAUGCUUUAAUUGUUCUUAUUAAAAAAAAAAUCUUUAAUUGUUUUUUCACUUUUAACGUCAGCGGCCUUGAAAGUGCUUUUACUUUAUAACAAAUUAAUUAAUGCUGACGAGAAAAUAUCUCUUCCACAGCCCACAGCAGCUUCUGUUAAUCAAACUCAACCAAUUUUCUCUCUUAACAAAAUUCCAAAGAUGGGUAGCAUUUUUCAGAUCACAUGCGACGGCGCUUUUUUCAAUCGUUGCUUUGGAUUGCUUUCUUGGAAAAGCAGCAUACAUAAGCAACAUCCAAGAUAAUCUUGUAGCCUUGGAGACUGAACUGGGAAGACUAAUCGCAGCAAAGAACGAUGUGAUGAUGAGGGUUGUCAAUGCUGAACGACAACAAAUGAAAAGGCUGGGCCAAGUGGAAUGGUGCGUUUCGAGGGUGGAUGCUGUUAAAAUUGAAGCUGAUGAACUUAUCAGAGACGGCUCUCAAGAAAUUGACAAAUUAUGUGUUGGAGGCUACUGUUCUAAGAACUGCACGUCAAGCUACAAGUUCGGGAAACAAGUGGCUAAAAAGCUACGAGAUGUGGAGACUUUAAUCGCCGAAGGAGUUUUUGAGGCGGUGGCUACCGAGGUGGUGCCUGAGAGAGCUCCAGAGCCUGUAGCAGAUGAAAGACCUACCGAGCGAACAGUAGUAGGCUUGCAAUCACAACUUGAACAAGUCUGGAGAUGUCUUGCAGAAGAAUCAGUGGGAAUCAUUGGCCUAUAUGGUAUGGGCGGUGUUGGUAAAACUACAUUACUGACCCAUAUCAACAAUAAAUUUCUCGAGAGUCCAACCAACUUUGAUUGUGUGAUUUGGGUAGUAGUUUCAAAAGACCUGCGACUUGAAAAAAUUCAAGAAGAUAUUGGAAAAAAGAUAGGUUUGGUUGGUGAUUCGUGGAAGAGUAAAAGUGUAGAGGAGAAAGCUGUCGACAUCUUCCGGAGUUUAAGAGAGAAGAGAUUUGUAUUGUUGUUAGAUGAUAUAUGGGAGCGGGUUGAUUUAACAAAGGUGGGCGUUCCACUUCCCGGACCAAAAAAUACUACCUCAAAAGUUGUAUUCACAACCCGUUUCAUCGAUGUUUGUGGUAGCAUGGAAGCUGACAGGAAGUUCCAAGUGGCGUGCUUAUCAGAAAAGGAUGCUUGGGAACUGUUUCGAGAAAAAGUUGGGGAAGAAACUCUUCAGAGUCAUCAUGAUAUCGUUGAGCUAGCCCAAAUUGUGGCCAAAGAGUGUGGUGGUUUGCCACUCGCACUUAUUACUAUUGGUCGAGCUAUGGCCUGCAAAAGGACAGCCGAGGAGUGGAGACAAGCAGUUGAAGUGCUAAGAAGAUCAGCUUCUGAGUUUGCAGGUUUGGGAAAAGAGGUGUAUCCUCUUUUAAAGUUUAGCUAUGAUAGUUUGCAGAAUGAGACGAUUAGAUCUUGUUUCUUAUAUUGUUGUUUAUAUCCCGAAGAUUAUGGAAUUCUUAAAUGGGACUUGAUUGAUUGUUGGAUUGGUGAGGGAUUCUUAGAGGAAUCUGACAGGUUUAGUGCAGAAAACCAAGGAUACUACAUUGUGGGCACUCUUGUUCAAGCAUGUUUAUUAGAAGAGUUAGAAGAUGAUAAAGUAAAAAUGCAUGACGUUAUUCGUGAUAUGGCUCUAUGGAUAACCAUUGAAAUUGAGAAGCAGAAGAGAAACUUUUUGGUUCGUGCAGGUGCUGGAUUAAAAGAGGCACCGGCUGUUAAAGAAUGGGAAAAUGUGAGAAGAUUGUCAUUGAUGCAAAACCAAAUUAAAACUCUGUCAGAGGUUCCUUCAUGCCCUCAUCUCCAUACUCUAUUUCUUGCCUCUAAUGAUAAUUUGAGGAUGAUCACGGAUGGCUUCUUUCAAUUUAUGCCUUCUCUCAAAGUUUUGAAGAUGUCAAACUGUGUGGAUUGGCCAGUUUCGAAAUUACCUUUGGCGAUGUCAAAGUUGGGUUCACUACAACUUCUUGAUAUUUCACAUACCGGCAUAGAANNNNNNNNNNNNNNNNNNNNNNNNNNNNNNNNNNNNNNNNNNNNNNNNNNNNNNNNNNNNNNNNNNNNNNNNNNNNNNNNNNNNNNNNNNNNNNNNNNNNGAAGAGUUGAAGUUGUUGGUAAAUCUGAAAUGUUUGAAUUUGAGGUGGACAUUUGAGUUAAAUAAAAUUCCAUGGCAACUAAUAUCAAAAUUUUCAAGGUUACGUGUGUUGAGAAUGUUCGCUACUGGCUUUGCACGUUUUGAUGAAGCAUCAGAAGACAGCGUUUUAUUUGGUGGGGGUGAAGUUUUAGUACAGGAAUUGGUCGGUCUGAAAUAUUUAGAGGUAUUGGAGUUGACCUUGGGAUGUCAUCAUGCUCUCCAAAUUUUUUUGAGCUCAAAUAAGUUAAAAAGUUGUAUUCGAUCUCUUCUCCUCCAGUUGGCCGGAGAUACAACGUCGAUUAUUGAUGCUACGGCUUUCGCAGAUCUAAACCACCUCAAUGAAUUAUGCAUUGAUAGGGCUAAGGAGUUGGAAGAAUUGAAGAUUGAUUGUAAAGAAAUAGUACAAAAAAGGCGGGAACCUUUUGUUUUCCGCAGCCCUCACCGUGUUACUAUACAUAGCUGCCAGAAGUUGAAAGAUUUGACAUUCCUCGUUUUUGCUCCAAACCUCAAGUCUCUCGAUCUAGACCGUUGCGAUGCUAUGGAAGAAAUAAUCAGCGUCGGAAAAUUUGCUGAGACUCCUGAGAUGAUGGGACAUAUAAGCCCUUUUGAAAAUCUCCAAAUGCUUGAUUUAGAAGAUUUGCCUCAUUUGAAGAGCAUCUUCUGGAAGCCAUUGCCUUUCACUCAUCUGAAAGAAAUAUCUGUGGGUUAUUGCCGUAAUCUUAAAAUGCUUCCACUCGAUUCCAACAGUGCAAAGGAGCGUAAAUUUAUUAUUCGUGGAGAAGAAGACUGGUGGAACCGACUUCAAUGGGAGGAUGAAGCCACUCAAAUUGCUUUUCGUUCCUGUUUCCAAUCUCUUUUUGAUUAACUCUUAUACAUUUUCUCGUCGUUUGCUUCAUGCAAAAGACUACGUCUUUUGUUCUCUGUUUUUAUUUCAGUUUCGUUUUGUCUCCUGCAAAUCACAAUUAAAUGUUGAAUUAUAUGGAAGUAAUGCUUUAUAAAUUUGCCGGCACUGCCAUUUAUUUUUCCUCUUUUUUUUUUUGGGUCGAAUUGAUGCUCUGGCUUUUUUAUUUUUUGUCAUCGAAUUUUGCUCUGUUUUUCAAAUUGAUGCUUGAAUAUGUGAAUUCAAUUAAUGCUCACAUAAUUUUGUUUAGUUGCCGUAAAAGAAUAUAAUUAGACUGAAAUUCGCACUCCCAGAAUGAAUAGAAUCACAACAGAGAAAAUAUUAAGUAUGCUAGCCCUCUUUACAGAAAAUCAAAUGAAAAUAAAAUUUUUUGGAUAUUUGAUUUUCUAUGGUCUACUAUAUACACUUUAUAAAUUCUUCUGUUCUAAGGAUAACCAAGUAGGGGAUUGAUGAAGGCUCCUUUUUGGGAUUCUUCUUUUUCUAGGCUGCAAUUAGGAUAUGUACAUGAUAGACAAUCUUUUGUUGGUUUAGCAUAUCUUCGCUGAUUUUGUCUUUUAUUCCCCAAUUUUAUAAUUACACACCAUGAAUGUUGGGUGAUUGUAUAGAAAAUUUGUGUUAUAACAAAAACAUUGUGAAGGAGUUUCCGUGCUAAUAGUUAGUGGCUUCUGUUUUAUUGGUAUUGAUUGGGUAGAUUUCGUGUUACAGUGAUUCAAUUUGUGUUCCAAACUUUGCUUUAAUUUUCUGUUUUCCCCAACUAUUUAUGUCAAAUUUAAAUCCAGAAGCAUGUACUGAUUUUUUCUUUUUGUAUUAAUCUGUGAAGUUUACUUGGAAUGGAAGUAACUGGGUCGGGUCUAAUGGAUUAAAUUAUGACAUUGAGGGGAAGGCACUAAAAGGGUUUGCUUGACACAUUUGGUUCUGUAUUUACUCUGCAAGAAAUAGCUUUUGCUUAUUGCAAUGCAGGGGGAAAUCCCGAUUUGGCUGGUGAAUUUCUCUGCAACAAACAGGCAAACGCCUCAACCUCUUCUGUCCAUACUUCUGCUGGGGAGGCAAGGGGUAAAGAGUCUUCAAAAUCAUCAAAUAGUAACAUCUCUGAGAAUUCAUUUUAUGGAAAUGGAAAAUCUAGAGCUUCUAAUACAAAAUGGCAUCUGGUAUCAGGACGUACCGUUUCAAGUUUUCUUGGUAAAGAUUAUGUUAAACCUGCACAGCCAGCUAAUGGCACUGUUCUGGCAUCAAAGCCAUUGAAGUUGGAUCCAAGGGAGUUUCGCAUUUCUGCACUUUCAGAGUAGAAACUAAACCAAAACAAUCAAAGGAUGACCAUUUGCAGAAGGAUAUGGAAGAUUUUCUGUUUAAAUUGCUAGGAGAAGGGUUCCAGCUGUACAGGGAUGUGAUUCAGGAGGUUCAUGGAAACGUCUUAAAUAUAUUGAUGCCAAUUUAAUACAUAUUGUCCUUUUCAAUGUUCUUUCUUUCUUUCUCCUCUUUUUAUUCUUCUUCUUCUUCUUUUUUCUUUUCGUGUGCAUGUGAUCACUAAUUUGGUAUUAUUCUUAACUUGCAGAUAGUUGUGGAUAUGAUAUGCAAAAUAUCUUCUUGAUGCUGGCAGAUUCACUUGAUUCUUAUUAGUUUGUUUAGUGGCAAGGCAUAUAACCUGUAUUUCAAAGCCAAGUUGUGCUAUUGAUUAUGUUAACUUUAUUGUUAACAUAAAGUGAUAUGGAGGACAUAAUCAAUGUAGGAAAAUUAGGUGAAGAGAUGAUGUCAAAUCUUGAACCUCUUACAAAGCUCCAAGUUCUUUACUUGAAGAAGCUGCCAAAUUUGAAGAGCGUCUACUGGAAGGCAUUUCCAUUCCCAGAUGUAUGCAGAAUUUUUGUAUUAAUGCCCAGUUCUUAAGAAGCUGCCACUGGAUUUUCAAAGGGCGGGCCAAGGUGAAAUUCUUAUCAAGGGAAAGGAAGAUUGGUGGAAAGAACUUCAAUGGGAGGAUCAAGCAACUCAGAAUGCAUUGCUUCCAUUUUUCAAAUCAACUGACAAGUGAUUGAAGGGGGCAUCAUCAACAGAGAUGGAGAGAUUCUGGAGCAGAUCAACAGGGUUUGUAUAUGAUCUUUGGUGGUUGCUUUCUUUUGUGAUUUUUUUUUCUCAUUUUUUUUCCUUCCUGUCAUUUUAUCAUUUCUUUGUCUCUUUUUCUAUUGCUGAUGUUAGUGUAUGCUUACUGUUGCUUGACAAAGUUUGCUUGCUUCUUGUUUAUUAAAUUUUUUAUGGUCACAAAAUAUUACUUGUUCUAUUUGAGAGUGAUGUGAAUCAAUUUUCAAUUAUAUAUUUUGUGGUCAAUGUGAAUUCAAUUUCAUUUGUCUCCUGCAAUUAUGAAAAAAAUGCAGAGUCAUAAUAUGGAAAAGUCGACCGGCAAAAACUUUGUGAAAGCUUCGGAGUGAAACAGGGAAUUCACUUACUACUAAGGACAAUUGGUGGCGAGCUAUUCCAUUCAUUUUAUGUCCAUACAUCUAUUUAAUUAUUGAAGAUAAGUGGUCCAUUUGUAAAUUUCAGAUUGUCCCUCUCUCUUGAAAUAACGAUAUUUAAAAUAUUUCUUAAAUUAUUAUAAAUUUUAAUUUACUCUGGAUUUAAAAUGGAACAUGAUGAAAAUUUUUUUUUCUUCUUAAUAAAAUUGAAAUAAAUUGUGUUUGCAGUAGUUUGAAAUAUUUUAAAGAUUAUUAUUUUAUAAGGGAGUAAUAUGAAAUGAAAUUUACUUUUCAUGCGUGAAAUGUUGAAAAAGGACAAAGCAAGUGUCCCUGUUUUUAUUUUAUUUCAAAGUGGAGUCAUCUCACGUACUUUAGCUCUUAACAUUAUAAUUUUUCUGGUUACAUUUUUAUUAUUAUUUUUUUUUUUUACACAUGCAUGUGGGUUACUUUUCCGUAAGCUCCUUAAUAUAUAUUUAACACAAAUCAUGGAAGAGAUGGGAGUAUAUCAAGAUGAUCAAAGCAUGAAACAAAAAUAUUUAAGAAGUAAAACACUGAAAAUGGAGAAGAGAUGCAAGCAAAAGAUAUUCCAAAGAAAAGCAAUCUAUCCCCCUUUCGAGGGCAAACUUAUCAGGUUUAAGAAAAGUACAUGCUUUGGAUUGGUAGUUGCAGCCUUGCAGGAUAAUUGUUUUUGCCACUAUAUUAGUUGGAGGAGUUGAACCCAGCGAAGAAUGUUAUGGAAGAGCAAAGGAUUAUGUAGCCUGAAUGGAUGUCUUGUUGAAAGAUAUCUCAGUGCAUUAGUUCAUCCUUGUCUGUCAAUGUGUUUUUAAUGGUUUUUCCAAUUGUUUAUUAUUAUAGAUUGAUUGUAAAUUGAUAUGAAUUUAAUGUUGAAAUAUUUUCUCUUUAGUGGAAUGAAUUUAAAAGUGCAAAAGCUUAUUGCACACAGAGAAAUAAACAUAUAUGCUUUAUAGUAUAACUUUAGCAAUCGAUUCUUUUACAGCUGGAAACAGAGAUGGUGAUUAUCAUAGGGGUGAAGAAAAGGACAAAAAAUGUUAAUGAUUAACGAAAUUUCUAUGCAAAUUGAUUUUAGCAGGAAAAAAAGUGAGCUAAAUGAUCUUAAUGUUCCACAAAAGCAAAUCGUAAUAUUCCACAAGAAAAAGCAAGAUCUUAAUGUUCCACAAAAGCGUUAUUUUUUUUUUGGUGAGCCACGUGGAGCUCAAUUAUCAUUGUCUUUACUUUAAAAACGUUAUUUUAUUUUAUUUUAUUACAAAUUAAUGCUAAACAAGAAAAAGCAAGAUAUAAUAUUCCACAAAAGCAAAUCGUAAUAUUCCACAGAGGAAUAAGAUCCACAAAAGCAAACAACUAGCUGGAUUCUUUUACUGAAUUACAAAUUAAAGUGGAAUCUUUUAUUAAACAAUAAAUUAAAGUUCGAAUAUUUAAGUAGUAGUGCGUUAGAUGAUUAGGCUCUCUUAUUAAAGGCAAGUAUAAGGUAGUCCAGAAUCGAACAUCUCUAUUGUCUAGUCAUUUUUUUCAAUUCUUCUUUUAUUAUUUUUCAGAAUAGGUUUUGGUGAUUACUAUUGGGUUAUUAGUCAGAGUUAUUCUUAUCUUCCGGGGCAGUUUCUGUUCAUCGGAAUUGUUAAUUAAAAGAGUAAUGAUAUAGUCACAAACUCUUGUAUAAACUUAUUUUGUACAAACUGAUGUGGCAUGAUAAGAUUAGUUGAAUUAAAUAUCACUUAGGCCACAUGAUUUAUUUUUAUUAUUUUAUAUUUUCAUUCAACCAAUGAAUUAAUGCCACGUCAGUUUGUACAAGAGUUUGUGGCUGUAUCAUUACUCUAAUUAAAAUUUUAGAACUCUUGUGGGAAGAAUGUUUUUCUGUUAUCUUUUUUACAUUCUAAUUUCAACAAUAAGAAGGAGUCAUUUUAGAAUUCGGGUCUUGAAUCGAAUUUCAAUGCAUGAAUUAAUAUUUUAAAAAAAAAUUACUACACGCAGUUUAGGUUACAAACUAUUUUUUGCAAAGUUGACUAUGAAAUUGGAGAAAUUAAGUAAUUUAUAAUGUUUGCAAAGGAAGAGACUAACAUACUUCCAAUUACACUAUAUCUCUAUUAUCAUAAUGUUAAGACUAAACUAACUUAAAAUAAAUUUUAUUUGAAAAGUUAUAUCAAACACAGUCUAAUUUUAUUAACUUGAAGAGAUAAUAGUUAUAGAAAUGAUUGUUCUAACUUAAUUAGUACAAGUGGUAUAAAGGUUAAGUGUGCACUAAAUUUGUUUAAAUUUUUUCCAGAAUAACUAACAGAGGUCAUUAUUAGAAUUAUAAUUACUAGUCUAUUAGAUAGAAAAAAUUAUAUAUAUUGUUUUAUAUUUAUUAAAAAAAUUUAAAGUCAAUCUUUUUAAUUAUUAUUUAAAGGAUAUUAUAAUUUAAAAAAAUUUAAUGUCUUUAUUAAAAAUUUAAAAAUUUACAUGACCGUUCUAUAAAUAUUUAAAGUGUAACUGUCAUUUUCUCAUGUAUAUAUAUAUAAACCACGGUGGUGAAGCUUUAUUUAAUAUUAUUGAUUUAAAUAACAAUAUCGCAAUUAAAAAUGUAGAGAGAAGAAAUUUUGGUGGGUAUAUUAGUCUUUUACAAUUAUCAUGAUUAGCCCUUCCUCUUGUAACGUUGGUCAGAAAAGUUUUAAAAUGCCUUGAUUUCUUUUACUUUUAACGUUAGCGGCCUUCCUUAUAUUUUAUUACAAAUUAGUCCUAACAAGAAAAAGCGAGAUCAUAUUCCAAAAAAGCAAAAGUGACAAAAAAACCAGCUGUAUUCUUUUAUUAAACUACAAUUUAAAAUGAUUUUAAAGUGGAUUCUUUUGAAUACAGGUGGGGUAGUCGAAUAGUCUUUUUCAAAUUCUUGUUUUAUUAUUUUUCAAAACUAGUUUUUGGUAAUUACAAUCGGGUCAUUCAUUAGUCAUUAUUCAGAGUUAUUGUUAUCUUCGGGGGCAGUGGGUAAAAGGCUAAAUGAUAAUUACUAAGUGUUUUUCCUUCAAAAGUUAGUGGCUCGUGUUUUGCAAGUGUGUACGUGCGAUGCUCUUUGUCUAAAGGCAAUUACAGUGGGUCCCGAAUCGGACGUGCCUAAUAAAUCUUUUAAAAUUUUUUCUAAUAAAUAUUCCUAAAAUUUCUCUUCCACAGGCAAUUACAGCAGCUUCAGUUAAUCAAACUCAAUCAAUUUUCUUUCUUAACAAAAUUCCAAAGAUGUUUGGCUGUUUUCAGAUCACAUGCGAUGGUGCUCUUUUCAAUCGUUGCUUGGAUUGCUUUCUGGGAAAAACAGUAUACAUACGUAACCUCCCAGAUAAUCUUGUUGCCUUGGAGACUGAAUUGGGAAAUCUAAUCGCAGCAAAGAACGAUGUGACGAGGAGGGUUGACAAUGCUGAACGGCAACAAAUGAGAAGGCUGGACCGAGUGCAACGAUGGAUUUCGAGAGUGGAAGUUGUUGAAACUGAAGCCGAUGAAUUGAUAAGACAUGGCUCUCGAGAAAUUGAAAAAUUAUGUGUUGGAGGCUACUGUUCCAAGAACUGCAUGUCAAGCUACAAGUUCGGAAAACAAGUGGCUAAAAAGCUACGGGAUGUGCGGACUUUAAUCAGUGAAGGAGUUUUUGAGGUGGUGGCUGACAGAGCUCCAGAGCCUGUAGCAGAUGAAAGACCUACUGAGCCAACAAUAGUAGGCUUGCAAUCACAACUUGAACAAGUUUGGAGAUGUCUUGUAGUAGAAGAAUCAGUGGGAAUCAUUGGCCUAUAUGGUAUGGGCGGUGUUGGUAAAACCACACUAUUGACCCAUAUCAACAAUAAAUUUCUUGAGAAUCCAAUCAACUUUGAUUGUGUGAUUUGGGUUGUAGUUUCAAAAGACCUGCGACUUGAAAAAAUUCAAGAAGAUAUUGGGAAAAAGAUAGGUCUGUUUGAUGAUUCAUGGAAGAGUAAAAGUGUAGAGGAGAAAGCUGUCGACAUCUUCCGGAGUUUAAGAGAGAAGAGAUUUGUAUUGUUGUUAGAUGAUAUAUGGGAGCGGGUUGAUUUAACAAAGGUGGGCGUUCCACUUCCCGGACCACAAAAUACUACCUCAAAAGUCGUAUUCACAACCCGUUCCAUCGAUGUUUGUGGCAGCAUGGAAAGUCACAGGAAGUUCCCAGUAGCAUGCUUAUCAGAAGAGGAUGCUUGGGAGCUGUUUCGAGAAAAAGUAGGGCAAGAAACUCUUGAGAGUCAUCAUGAUAUCGUUGAGCUAGCCCAAACUGUGGCCAGAGAGUGUGAUGGUUUGCCACUCGCACUUCUUACUAUUGGUCGAGCUAUGGCCUGCAAAAGGACAGCAGAGGAGUGGAGACACGCAGUUGAAGUGCUAAGAAGAUCAGCUUCUGAGUUUGCAGGUUUGGGAGAAAAGGUGUACUCUCUUUUAAAAUUCAGCUAUGAUAGUUUGCAGAAUGAGACGAUUAAAUCUUGUUUCUUAUAUUGUUGUUUAUAUCCCGAAGAUUAUGGAAUUCUUAAAUGGGACUUGAUUGAUUGUUGGAUUGGUGAGGGAUUCUUAGAGCAAUCUGACAGGCUUAGUGCAGAAUACCAAGGAUACUACAUUGUGGGCACUCUUGUUCAAGCAUGUUUAUUAGAAGAGUUAGAAGAUGAUAAAGUAAAAAUGCAUGACGUUAUUCGUGAUAUGGCUCUAUGGAUAACCAGUGAAAUUGAGAAGGAGAAGAGAAACUUUUUGGUUCGUGCAGGUGCUGGAUUAAAAGAGGCACCGGCUGUUAAAGGAUGGGAAAAUGUGAGAAGAUUGUCACUGAUGCAAAACCAAAUUGAAACUCUGUCAGAGGUUCCUACAUGCCCUCAUCUCCUCACUUUAUUUCUUGACUUUAAUCAGGAGUUGGAGAUGAUCGCGGAUGGUUUCUUCCAAUUUAUGCCUUCUCUCAAAGUUUUGAAGAUAUCAAACUGUGGAAACAUUUUUCAAUUACCUGUUGGGAUGUCAAAGUUGGGUUCACUAGAACUUCUUGAUAUUUCACAUACCUUCAUAAAAGAGUUACCAGAAGAGUUAAAGAAGUUGGUAAAUCUGAAAUGUUUGAAUUUGAGGUGGACAAGGGAGUUAAAUAAAAUUCCACGGCAACUAAUAUCAAAUUCUUCAAGGUUACGUGUGUUGAGAAUGUUCGCUACUGGCUACAUACGAUUCGAUGAUGCACCAGAAGACGGCGUUUUAUUUGGUGGGGGUGAAGUUUUGAUACAGGAAUUGCUCGGUUUGAAAUAUUUAGAGGUAUUGGAGUUGACCUUGGGAAGUUAUCAUGCUCUCCAAAUUCUUUUGAGCUCAAAUAAGUUAAAAAGUUGUAUUCGAUCUCUUUACCUCGAGUUGACCGGAGAUACAACGUCAAUUAUUGAUGCUACGGCUUUCGCAGAUCUAAACCACCUCAAUGAAUUAUAUAUUAAUAAUGGUAUUGAGUUGGAAGAAUUGAAGAUUGAUUAUACGCAGAUAGUACGAAAAAGGCGGGAACCUUUUGUUUUCCGCAGCCUUCACCGUGUUACUGUUAUGGAUUGCCAUAAAUUGAAAGAUGUGACAUUCCUCGUUUUUGCUCCAAAC
This 35462-nucleotide long non-coding RNA is filed under the name Citrus x clementina. Its description in RNAcentral is "Citrus clementina (C. clementina) long non-coding RNA (CCLE_LNC001433)". Lineage: Eukaryota; Viridiplantae; Streptophyta; Magnoliopsida; Sapindales; Rutaceae. The record is from RNAcentral.